Molecule: long non-coding RNA, 962 nt
Filed under: Brassica napus (rape)
Lineage: Eukaryota; Viridiplantae; Streptophyta; Magnoliopsida; Brassicales; Brassicaceae
Description: long non-coding RNA (BNAP_LNC026462)
Source: RNAcentral
AGGAGGAGGAGGUGAUUUAUAUACGUACUUUUCCUUUGGUGGCGGUGGGGAAUGGUAAACUGGAGGAGGAGAAUAGUGCUUAACCGGAGGAGGAGGGGAUUUGUAUACGUAGUGCUUCUUUGGUGGGGGUGGGGAAUGGUAAACCGGAGGGGGAGAGUAGUGCUUCACCGGAGGAGGAGGGGAUUUGUACACGUAGUGUUUCUUUGGUGGUGGUGGAGAGUGGUAAACCGGAGGAGGGGAGUAGUGCAUAACCGGAGGAGGAGGAGAUUUGUACACGUAGUGUUUCUUUGGUGGUGGUGGAGAGUGGUAAACCGGAGGAGGGGAGUAGUGCAUAACCGGAGGAGGAGGAGAUUUGUACACGUAGUGUUUCUUUGGUGGUGGUGGAGAGUGGUAAACCGGAGGAGGGGAGUAGUGCAUAACCGGAGGAGGAGGAGAUUUGUACACGUAGUGUUUCUUUGGUGGUGGUGGAGAGUGGUAAACCGGAGGAGGAGAAUAGUGCAUCACUGGAGGAGGAGGAGAUUUGUAGACGUAAUGUUUUUUAGGUGGGGGUGGGGAAUGGUAAACAGGAGGGGGUGUGUAGUGUUUAACCGGAGGAGGAGGAGAUUUGUAUACGUAAUGUUUCUUGGGUGGUGGUGGUGAGUGGUAGACUGGUGGGGGAGAGUAGUGCUUAACCGGUGGGGGUGGAGAUUUGUAGACGUAGUCCUUCUUAGGAGGUGGUGGAGAGUGGUAAACCGGAGGAGGAGAAUAGUGUUUAACCGGAGGAGGAGGGGACUUGUACACGUAGUGUUUCUUUGGUGGUGGUGGAGAAUGGUAAACGGGAGGAGGAGAGUAGUGCUUAACCGGGGGUGGAGGGGAUUUGUACACGUAGUGCUUCUUUGGGGGUGGUGGAGAGUGGUAAACCGGUGGUGGAGAGUAGUGUUUAACUGGAGGAGGUGGAGAUUUAUAUUCGUAGUGUUUCUUAG